RNAcentral lists this ribosomal RNA (390 nucleotides) under uncultured bacterium. RNAcentral describes it as "bacterial SSU rRNA". It matches the Rfam family "Bacterial small subunit ribosomal RNA", at positions 28 to 420 of the family's 1533-position model. The record is from RNAcentral.
GACGAACGCUGGCGGCGUGCUUAACACAUGCAAGUCGGACGAGACCCCUUCUUCGGGAGGGUGUUCUAGUGGCGAACGGGUGAGUAACACGUGGGCAACCUGCCCUCAGCUCUGGGAUAACUCCAAGAAAUUGGGGCUAAUACCGGAUAUGACUGCUGACCGCAUGGUCUGGUGGUGGAAAGAUUUAUCGGCUGGGGAUGGGCCCGCGGCCUAUCAGCUUGUUGGUGGGGUAGUGGCCACCAAGGCGACGACGGGUAGCCGGCCUGAGAGGGUGACCGGCCACACUGGGACUGAGACACGGCCCAGACUCCUACGGGAGGCAGCAGUGGGAAUAUUGCGCAAUGGGCGGAAGCCUGACGCAGCGACGCCGCGUGGGGAUGACGGCCUCGG